AAUCCAUGAUGAGGACACAUUCUAAAAAGAUCCUUAAACCUCUCUCAUACAUCAUACAAUGUCUUCAACUUAAAUUGAGCAAAAGAAGAGAUGUCAUUCCUCAACUU
This is a non-coding RNA of Gossypium arboreum, 107 nucleotides long. The record is from Rfam. Lineage: Eukaryota; Viridiplantae; Streptophyta; Magnoliopsida; Malvales; Malvaceae.